This is a long non-coding RNA of Cavia porcellus (domestic guinea pig), 1147 nucleotides long. RefSeq lists it as uncharacterized. The record is from RefSeq and is a predicted model, not a curated record. The transcript has 2 exons. Lineage: Eukaryota; Metazoa; Chordata; Mammalia; Rodentia; Caviidae.
UAUGUGUGCAAACAUAUACUCCUGGUACCAGGGAAAUCUAGGCCUUUCCACACCCCUAUUGCCUAACACAGUGUCUCACUCGCAGACACUUGUCAAGUACUUAUGCUUGUGAAUGUUUGUCAGAUGCCUGCUGAAUGCGUGAUUAUGAAGGAAUGAGCCCAGCCCACAACUCCAGGCCAGGAGUGAGCACACACCUGCCCAGCAGGACCAGCAGAGGGGCACAGCGAUGCAUGAGAGAAGCUGAAGUGAAUGAGAGGACCAGAGAGGGUCGGCAGCUUGCCUGGGUUUCCUCCCCAUCCGCCACCAGCACCCCACGGGACCCCGUCCCAGGAAAAGUGGCCCUCAUGGGGAAGCAGACGAGUGGGUGGUGCUGAAGUCCAGCAGCCUUCUGCUUCCUGCGAGAAAAAUUCCUGGCAUUUCUCCGCCUGUGCAGUUAUGAAACCUUUGACUUACCCUCAUCCCCAGGGAACCCUGCAUAGCCAAGGGCAGGGAAAGAAAGAGGCAAAACCCAAUUUGAGCACAAGUCAGAUGGCUUCCAGCCCCAGCAGGGGGACAUCCCACCCUGUGGGUUUGGAUCCACCAGGGAUUGGAAGCAGUUGUGAAGGCAGAAGUUCAAGAACCGGAAAACAAAUGCCACUGAGUCACAAGGGGCGUCAGAGCCAACUCCAGAGUCACAGCGCUGAGGCCACACUCAUUCCAGAUCCAACACAGCAGCUUCGAGCCUCGUGUGGCUACUGAGAACUGCAGCUGGCUGAGGGGAACGAGGAUGUGCUGUGAACACCGAGUGAACCCCUGGAUUCAGCGUGCAAAAAGGCCAGAGUCACAGCUCCCAGAAGUCAUUCAGCGUCAUAACUUUGGCCUCCUGCAUGCCCGAGACAGCAGCCAGCACAAGUUCUGCUGGCACAUGGGUCAAGCACCUUCGCCACAUUCCACGAUGCACAGGGCACGGUCCUCAGCCAGCUCCAGGCUGCCUUCUCCACAGGAGCCAGGCCCAGCCUCCCUGGGCAUCUGAACCUGAUGACCAGUCUUCCCUUGCUCUGCCACCCAGGGUGUCUCUCAGGGACCUGGAGGUCUCACCAUCUCCCCACAACCAUUUCCUCCGCCUCCCCUUCAAGGUGCAUUUCUUAUAAAGAGAAACACGACCUUC